This is a long non-coding RNA of Empidonax traillii (willow flycatcher), 580 nucleotides long. RefSeq lists it as uncharacterized. Lineage: Eukaryota; Metazoa; Chordata; Aves; Passeriformes; Tyrannidae. The transcript is spliced from 3 exons. The record is from RefSeq and is a predicted model, not a curated record.
AUCUGUGGAAUAUUAUAUUUCAGGAUCAAGACCAAACCUACUACCAUUUGAAAGGGUCAUAUUAAGCAUUAGGUUUCUAGUACACAUUACUUAAAAUAUUAAUGAAGCAUGUAAUAGCUGUUAAACUAAAGACAACAGGAGCUGUGAAGAAGAUACCCUGAUAUAUUACCCAGAAGAUCAAGGAAGAAAACACCUCAGGAAUAAGUAUUUCAAGAGAUUUGUGCACAUCUGGAAAUAUAAAGCUACAUUUAAACACUAGGAAACUGAAGAGUACAAAAAGACCUGGGUGUCUACUACCUAAAAAAAGAAGGAAAGAAAAAUAGAUGACCAAGACAAAGGAAUGUAACUGCUUAACUCUCUUAGUCCUUCAAACUUGCAGAAGAGAGAACUGUGCAGAUCAACGGAGAGAGGGUGACUGGAGAACAGUAAGGAGAAUUUAUGCCUAAACAAGAGUAGCUGAAGGAAAAAAUCAGUAAAAAAUGGGUCAGUAAUUUUCAUUCUGACAAAGUUCCUUCAGAGUUAGGAAAGUGUGAGGUUUACUUUAUUAUCUAAUGUUUUAAGUGAAAUCUCAGGAUUAAAG